This 86-nucleotide unclassified non-coding RNA is filed under the name Pseudomonas migulae. The record is from RNAcentral. Lineage: Bacteria; Pseudomonadati; Pseudomonadota; Gammaproteobacteria; Pseudomonadales; Pseudomonadaceae.
UGUAGGAGCCGGCUUGCUGGCGAUGCAGGCGACUCGGAUUAACGCCUGACCGAGUCGAUUCCAUCGCCAGCAAGCCGGCUCCUACA